This 45-nucleotide non-coding RNA is filed under the name Schistosoma margrebowiei. Lineage: Eukaryota; Metazoa; Platyhelminthes; Trematoda; Strigeidida; Schistosomatidae. The record is from RNAcentral.
ACCCAGAUGACGAGUCCAGAAUGGGACGAAACUUUUGUCCUGGAU